CAGCACCUCAAGUGGUCAGGAUGAUUAUUGGGCCUAAAGCAUCCGUAGCCUGCUCUGUAAGUUUUCGGUUAAAUCUGUAUGCUCAACAUACAGGCUGCCGGGAAUACUGCAGAGCUAGGGAGUGGGAGAGGUAGACGGUACUCGGGAGGAAGUGGUAAAAUGCUUUGAUCUCUCGAUGACCACCUGUGGCGAAGGCGGUCUACCAGAACACGUCCGACGGUGAGGGAUGAAAGCUGGGGGAGCAAACCGGAUUAGAUACCCGGGUAGUCCCAGCUGUAAACUAUGCAAACUCAGUGAUGCAUUGGCUUGUGGCCAAUGCAGUGUUGCAGGGAAGCCGUUAAGUUUGCCGCCUGGGAAGUACGUACGCAAGUAUGAAACUUAAAGGAAUUGGCGGGGGAGCACCACAAGGGGUGAAGCCUGCGGUUCAAUUGGAGUCAACGCCAGAAAUCUUACCCGGAGAGACAGCAGAAUGAAGGUCAAGCUGAAGACUUUACCAGACAAGCUGAGAGGUGGUGCAUGGCCGUCGCCAGCUCGUGCCGUGAGAUGUCCUGUUAAGUCAGGUAACGAGCGAGAUCCCUGCCUCUAGUUGCCACCAUUACUCUCAGGAGUAGUGGGGCGAAUUAGCGGGACCGCCGCAGUUAAUGCGGAGGAAGGAAGGGGCCACGGCAGGUCAGUAUGCCCCGAAACUCUGGGGCCACACGCGGGCUGCAAUGGUAAUGACAAUAGGUUCCGAAUCCGAAAGGAUGAGGUAAUCCCUAAACAUUACCACAGUUAUGACUGAGGGCUGCAACUCGCCCUCACGAAUAUGGAAUCCCUAGUAACUGCGUGUCAUUAUCGCGCGGUGAAUACGUCCCUGCUCCUU
Molecule: ribosomal RNA, 862 nt
Filed under: uncultured organism
Description: bacterial SSU rRNA
Rfam family: Archaeal small subunit ribosomal RNA
Source: RNAcentral